Molecule: ribosomal RNA, 147 nt
Filed under: Candidatus Nealsonbacteria bacterium CG18_big_fil_WC_8_21_14_2_50_37_10
Lineage: Bacteria; Candidatus Nealsoniibacteriota
Description: partial 16S ribosomal RNA
Rfam family: Bacterial small subunit ribosomal RNA
Source: RNAcentral
UUGAGGUCUGCAACUCGACCUCAUGAAGCCGGAAUCGCUAGUAACCGUGAAUCAGCUAUGUCACGGUGAAUAUGUUCCUGAGCCUUGUACUCACCGCCCGUCACAGCAAGCGAGCUGGGAACAGCCGAAGUGCCCCGUAAGGGGAGC